UGGGGAAUUUUGGACAAUGGGCGAAAGCCUGAUCCAGCAAUGCCGCGUGUGUGAAGAAGGCCUUCGGGUUGUAAAGCACUUUUGUCCGGAAAGAAAUCCUUGGCUCUAAUACAGUCGGGGGAUGACGGUACCGGAAGAAUAAGCACCGGCUAACUACGUGCCAGCAGCCGCGGUAAUACGUAGGGUGCAAGCGUUAAUCGGAAUUACUGGGCGUAAAGCGUGCGCAGGCGGUUUGCUAAGACCGAUGUGAAAUCCCCGGGCUCAACCUGGGAACUGCAUUGGUGACUGGCAGGCUAGAGUAUGGCAGAGGGGGGUAGAAUUCCACGUGUAGCAGUGAAAUGCGUAGAGAUGUGGAGGAAUACCGAUGGCGAAGGCAGCCCCCUGGGCCAAUACUGACGCUCAUGCACGAAAGCGUGGGGAGCAAACAGGAUUAGAUACCCUGGUAGUCCACGCCCUAAACGAUGUCAACUAGUUGUUGGGAUUCAUUUCCUUAGUAACGUAGCUAACGCGUGAAGUUGACCGCCUGGGGAGUACGGUCGCAAGAUUAAAACUUCAAAUGAAUUGACGGGGUCAUAGCUGUUUCCU
This 585-nucleotide ribosomal RNA is filed under the name uncultured bacterium. RNAcentral's name for it is "partial 16S ribosomal RNA". It matches the Rfam family "Bacterial small subunit ribosomal RNA", at positions 355 to 1375 of the family's 1533-position model. The record is from RNAcentral.